RNAcentral lists this ribosomal RNA (253 nucleotides) under uncultured bacterium. RNAcentral describes it as "partial 16S ribosomal RNA". It matches the Rfam family "Bacterial small subunit ribosomal RNA", at positions 524 to 776 of the family's 1533-position model. The record is from RNAcentral.
UACGUAGGCAGCGAGCGUUGUUCGGAGUUACUGGGCGUAAAGCGUGCGUAGGCGGUGUCUUAAGUUUGUUGUGAAAUCUCCCGGCUUAACCGGGAGGGUGCGGCGAAUACUGAGAUGCUGGAGUGCCGGAGAGGUAAGCGGAAUUCCUGGUGUAGCGGUGAAAUGCGUAGAUAUCAGGAGGAACACCUGCGGUGUAGACGGCUUACUGGACCAUAACUGACGCUGAGGCACGAAAGCGUGGGUAGCAAACAGG